RNAcentral lists this unclassified non-coding RNA (284 nucleotides) under Hevea brasiliensis (rubber tree). The record is from RNAcentral. Lineage: Eukaryota; Viridiplantae; Streptophyta; Magnoliopsida; Malpighiales; Euphorbiaceae.
AACCACUCUUAUCUCCAUAAAUUCUUAUUGGGCUUUCUGGGUCUUGAUAGGAAUCCUCAGAUUUCCUUAUCUACCUUCCUUUUUUGGCUGAUCUUCUUCAUCUUCUCCUCCUUAAAAGCUUUUCUGGGGUUUUGCCUGCUGUUUGGGUUUGCGGUGUUUGCUCACAAAAUCUCAGAUUUCUGUGCUUCCUCUCUUUACCUAAAGAGGCUUUCUGGGUAGCCUAUUUGAAAUGGUGAGAGGAAAGACUCAAAUGAAGCGCAUAGAGAACGCCACAAGCAGGCAAG